Molecule: long non-coding RNA, 431 nt
Filed under: Gossypium barbadense (sea-island cotton)
Lineage: Eukaryota; Viridiplantae; Streptophyta; Magnoliopsida; Malvales; Malvaceae
Description: long non-coding RNA (GBAR_LNC003045)
Source: RNAcentral
CUGUAGCUUCCAAAUGAGAUCUAUAAAACAGAGGAAACAAAGUACACGGAGUAAGCAUUACAAUGCUUAGUAAGUUUUAAGCAGUGUCAACAGAUAACAAUCAAAUUAUAACAUAGUUGUUCGUAUUUUUAUUUCACUCUUCAUUCGGGCAUACCAUCCCUUUACUGAAUAUGCACAUCUCAUCAUAUAUAAUAGGCAGAUAAAUUCUCACUUGAUAGUGACCUCUUAUGAUCAUGGGUACAUUACAUUUUUUUUUUCCUGACUUUCUACAUUGACCAAAUGCACAAUAAUCAUAGAACAGUCUUAUUGCUUUACUCACAUGUGCAUCACAUAACGACCUUGUGAUUUAGUCUAAAUCAAACUUAAAUAUAAUCUCAAAAUACAUACCUGACCAACUUAACGCAUUGAACGUAUUUAUUACCAAUUGUUAC